AGUUCCAUUUAAAUAUUCAUCACACAAUCUAACAAUAUUUGUAUUUAACAAAUUUUUCAAAGAUGGCGACCAAAUAAAAUCAAAAUGAUUAAAUUUGUCCGCUGAUAUUCCAUAAACACCGAUUGUCGAUGGUAAAUUUUUAUAAAGCUCAUGUACAGCCUUUGGCGUAGCUAAAGCAUCAGUACGACCAUAAUGUAAAAUAAUUGGCAUAGUAAUUUUUGUUAAAUUAUAUCCAUCAGGUUCAACUCGGUGAUAAAAUUGUAAAUUUCCUUCUAAACCACGAUCAUAAGAAACAAAAUCACCAGAUUUUAAAAUUUGUAGAAAAUGUUCAAUUUCUUGAACAGAACCUCCAGCAAUAAUUGCUCCCAAGGCUAAAGGGUCCAUGGACUGUUAAAAAAAUUGACAAACAAGAGUAAAUAUUAAAUUUGACGAAGGAAAGAUCAUAAUACCUGAUUGUAUUGCCCCACACCGAAAAUAUCCGACACAAUUUCCAAACACUUUAGAUUAUUCUCUGAAUUGAUUGAACAUUUCUGCAAAAGUUGUCCUUGUGGAAAAGCCUCAAAUAGAGAAUUUUGUAAGGUUUCUCAGAAAAACCAAUGGCGCCAAGGCCUGAAAGAACAAAAUCCGAUCUUCGUAUUCCGGUCGUGUGGUACAAAGUGCUAGAAGUGCUGUGGCACCUUGUGAAUGUCCAAUGUAGAUUAUUUGAUGAAAUGCUGUGACAUCACGAAUUUUAUCAAUUGUUGCUGAAAUAUCAUAAACUCCGAUUUCAUGAAAGCUAAAUUGCCAAAAUUGUGGAUCUUUAAUCGUUAACUUUGUGUGAUUUCGACUUUGAAUAGUUCCACGGGUAUUGAUUAACCAAACGUCAUAGUUGCUCGAUGCUAGCUGAAAAGCUGAAGAAUUGCUAAAAAAUUUUACAGCUACGUUAGAAAAAACGGGCCUUUCUUACCCAAACUGUUCUCAGGUCCAAGCAUUACAAAACUUAACGAAGAAGUGAACAAACCAUGAACCAGAAGAACUGGUUGAUGUCCUGGCUUUGGAAUUCUGUAUAAAACCAAAAUAUAACCAUCCUCAGUUUGAACUUCAUAAGUUUCACAUGUCAAUUUAUUUACAACAUUAUUUUUGUUCGGUCCAACAACCUGUCUCAGGAAUUUUUUUACCACGCGGAAGCAUAAGCUAAUGGAGCAGCAGCAUAUGAAUAAUGAGCUGGAGCAGCAUAAGUCUUGAGCACUGGAGCAGCAUGAUAAGUUU
This is a long non-coding RNA of Episyrphus balteatus (marmalade hoverfly), 1248 nucleotides long. RefSeq lists it as uncharacterized. The transcript is spliced from 3 exons. Lineage: Eukaryota; Metazoa; Arthropoda; Insecta; Diptera; Syrphidae. The record is from RefSeq and is a predicted model, not a curated record.